RNAcentral lists this ribosomal RNA (253 nucleotides) under uncultured bacterium. RNAcentral's name for it is "partial 16S ribosomal RNA". It matches the Rfam family "Bacterial small subunit ribosomal RNA", at positions 524 to 776 of the family's 1533-position model. The record is from RNAcentral.
UACGUAGGGUGCGAGCGUUGUCCGGAAUUAUUGGGCGUAAAGGGCGCGUAGGCGGCCAUGCGUGUCUUCCGUGAAAUCCCUCGGCUUAACUGAGGACGUGCGGAAGAAACUGCAAGGCUUGAGUCCGGGAGAGGGGGGUGGAAUUCCCAGUGUAGCGGUGAAAUGCGUAGAUAUGACAUAGAACACCAAUUGCGAAGGCAGCUCACUACACAAAUAUUGACGCUGAGGCACGAAAGCGUGGGGAUCAAACAGG